AGCUGGAAUGGCCAAAGGGAUAUUCCACACCAUGGAAUGCCAUGCUCAGGGUUCAAAUGGGUACAAUUAGCCAGAGAGGUGCUAUUGCUGAUCAGGGACAGUCUGGGCAUCAGUCAACGGGUGAAAAUGAUGAAUUUUCCUAUUGUAGAGGGACAGUACAAACUUCACUGAAUAAAGGAGUGGAGAUUUGCUGAGAAGCAACAAAGAACCUAAGCCACCUGAUACAGGUGAUAAGGCACCUUUGGCACCAGCCAGGGAAAUAAACUGCUUUAAGGAUGCCUGAGAUUCUGCUAUGGGAAACCUGGGGUUGAGCUGCCAAGUCCACAAGCAAGCCAUGUCAUCUUGGGAAUAAACAUGGGAUAACAGCAUCAUGAAAUUUGGAGGGCCACGUCUGAAUUGCAUCAGCUGUGCCUUAUAAAUGUUCAAGAACUUCAGAAACAGUUUUUUUCCAAGGAACAACAGUGAUCCCUGACUGAUCACAUGUAUGUUUCACUGUUUUCUGGUUAAACUAUAUUUAUUUGAGACGAACCUUGUAAAACUCUAAAUGCAAAUUCCUCUGUGGGAAAUUCCUGGGGUAUUAGACAUCAGUGUCAUCAUCAUUAGAAAAUGAUGGCUGCAAUGAUAUAUCCAUAAACAAGCAGUAUUUAUGAUGGCUGAGCAGGAUGAGGAAGCCUUCCUUUCCUUAGUUUUACUGCAUCCCUAAUGGACUUAGAGGUAGCCCAGAUAGAUAAGGGAUAUGUUGCAUUCCUGCUGAGGUUCCCUGCAAUAAAAACUGUGGGAAACUAUACCUUAGGUAACUCUUGAGCCCUCAGUUUUAGUGUAGUGCUAUGAAAGUUUUAAGAUAACAACAGCAAAAUAAAACCUCUUUUUUUUCUGUCUGUGGGAUGGUUAGGCAAGGGAUCAGAGGAGUACACCCCUGGACUGGGGUCCUAUCUGAUGGGAAUGUUACAUAAUCCAGAAGGGGUGAGCUGGGAAAUUUACUUUGUUGAAGUUCCCCAUGGUAAUUAGCAAAGUCCUCUCCCAGAACAAGGUUAUCGAAGCAUCGAAGUCUGACCAUCCCUCAGCCCCUCCUCUGCAGGAGGCUCCCAGCUGCCAUCAGCUGGAGCUCUACAUAGACAUGGGGCUUGUAACAGGGAACUUUCUGUGAUCCUGGCCCUCAGUCCCUGAAAUGACACACAAAAAGCUCUCACAGUUCAUCCAUAUGAGCUGUGAGAAGUGGGACUCAGUAAAGGAGGAGGGAUUGUUUUGAAUCAGUUGCUGGUUUUGUGCAGAGCUGCUCUCAGUCAGGCCAGUGCUGCAGUCAAAGUGAACAGGGAUGCAGGGAGUUCUGGCAAACCCUGUGCUCCAGACAUUUUCCAUAUCACUAAUAAUCACCACUUGUUUAUUUGUGCAGGGGCUGUAGCUGUGUCCCCAGUCCUGUCUGUCAGACUGAGCAAGCAGUUCCUAAACCAGGUCUAACUAUAACGUACUUGCACAUGCACAUAUACAAUGAGUUAUAAGUGAAGGAAAUGAAAAGCUCGAUCAGGAAAUCCUCCAUGUCAGG
Passer domesticus (house sparrow) is the source of this 1543-nucleotide long non-coding RNA. RefSeq lists it as uncharacterized. The transcript has 3 exons. NCBI's taxonomy places the organism in Eukaryota, Metazoa, Chordata, Aves, Passeriformes, Passeridae. The record is from RefSeq and is a predicted model, not a curated record.